This 377-nucleotide ribosomal RNA is filed under the name uncultured organism. Its description in RNAcentral is "partial 16S ribosomal RNA". It matches the Rfam family "Bacterial small subunit ribosomal RNA", at positions 527 to 896 of the family's 1533-position model. The record is from RNAcentral.
GUAGGUGGCAAGCGUUGUCCGGAAUUAUUGGGCGUAAAGCGCGCGCAGGUGGUUCGUUUAAGUCUGAUGUGAAAGCUACCCGGGCUCAACCCGGGGAGGGUCAUUGGAAACUGGGGAACUUGAGUGCAGGAGAGGAAAGUGGAAUUCCACGUGUAGCGGUGAAAUGCGUAGAUAUGUGGAGGAACACCAGUGGCGAAGGCGACUUUCUGGCCUGUAACUGACACUGAGGCGCGAAAGCGUGGGGAGCAAACAGGAUUAGAUACCCUGGUAGUCCACGCCGUAAACGAUGAGUGCUAAGUGUUCGGGGGGGUUUCCGCCCCUCAGUGCUGCAGCUAACGCAUUAAGCACUCCGCCUGGGGAGUACGGCCGCAAGACUG